Long non-coding RNA from Electrophorus electricus (electric eel), 822 nucleotides. RefSeq lists it as uncharacterized. Lineage: Eukaryota; Metazoa; Chordata; Actinopteri; Gymnotiformes; Gymnotidae. The record is from RefSeq and is a predicted model, not a curated record.
GUGAAACCCCAAACACGACCCGCGUCGAGACGGAACCGCGGAGCCGGAGUCAGGGCAGCAGGGAGGGCGAGAUGUGCGCCGCAGGGAGACAGGGACCGAGCAGAGUAUUGACUUAAAUCAGCAUGGAAAAGUUCCGAGUUGGAGAAGGUCACCUGGAGGAUGUCACCUCCCGUUCUGCACGCUGUGUACACGCUGCGCAGAUGUCCAUGCACCCACCUGUUUCUCUGGGAUUCUUUCUCUCAUUCUGCCGCGUCUCCACCUCUCUUCCUGCUCCCUGCGUGAGACGCUCUUCAGGUUCGAGUUGACGCUAGCAAAAAGACAUUAAAAAUCAAUCAUCUCUUUCUGCUAGCUAGUUGGAUGUGGGAGUUCUGGAUAUUCACAGAGCGAGAAGCCAAAAAUUGAUAUGUGUGUCAUAAGGUUUCAUAUGUUAUAUUCCUAUUGUUCAAGUACAUCAUUGACACCAUAAAGCAAACAUCGUGAAUUCAUGGUCAUAUUAAAUUACGAAGGACAUAAAUCAGUGGUGCCAGCAUGUGGAAACUGAGACCCCACUGCCUUUACGACUGCACUGAGAAACUGAUUUUCAUUAAUAUUUCAUGAAUAUUAACAUAACCUCCCUUGGAAAUGAUCGAAAUAACAAAAAUCGAUGUCUCAAAUUUGUGCUAUAUCAUCAGUUCACAAAAUCGACCUGGCAUGUUUGAUAUUAGUUUUGACAUAUCAUUUUCUUGUAUGGCAACAGCUAACAAUAAAUUAACACAAGCAAUUACUGGUUAUUAACAAGAAACUUCUUACAUAAAGUAAACAUUUCUUUGUAUUCAGACUUUA